UGCAGCCGGGGAGCCAGCGGUGCCCUGUACCUGCAAUCCGCUAUAGCAGGGGUGAUGCCGAACAGAGGGAUACGCGUCGCGGAGCCGCCUUUUAUAAGUGGCGUUGACGUUUGGGUCUUGCGCAACAUGGACUCAUGAACCGUGUCAGGGCAGGAAUGCAGCAGCACUAAGUGAAAAUCCGUGUGUGCCGCAAGGUCGCCUGAGCCGAGUUAACUGUAAAAGUAACGUCUGCGGUAGUAUUUCGAAGUAAGGCGCACGG
Molecule: signal recognition particle RNA, 259 nt
Filed under: chicken gut metagenome
Description: Bacterial large signal recognition particle RNA
Rfam family: Bacterial large signal recognition particle RNA
About the family: The signal recognition particle (SRP) is a universally conserved ribonucleoprotein involved in the co-translational targeting of proteins to membranes. Archaeal SRP consists of a 7S RNA and homologues of the eukaryotic SRP19 and SRP54 proteins.
Source: RNAcentral